Molecule: long non-coding RNA, 425 nt
Organism: Oncorhynchus tshawytscha (Chinook salmon)
Lineage: Eukaryota; Metazoa; Chordata; Actinopteri; Salmoniformes; Salmonidae
Source: Ensembl
AACAAGGUACGGAUGUUAUGUUAUUCUGUCACCAAUGGUUUUGUUUUAUUUAUUUUUUACAAUUAGUUUUUCCAUGGUACAUAAUCAGACAUAUUUCAAUAUCUUACAUUGUUUAUAAAUAUCACUUUUCUACCCCCUCCUCCAGAUUUGGUGAAUGGACCAACCAGACCCUCAAGACUGCCAAUGGCAAGUCCCUUGAUUGGUUCCAAGAAGGGUGGGAGAACUACCUGAAGAUCACUGAAACCCCACCUGAUGUGGUGGAAGUUGUCAAACCAGAUCAGAACACGUUCGAGUACUACCUUCAGGCACGGACUGAGAAGGAUGUGGAGGUUUUUGACCAGUUGAGACUGAACAUGGACAAGGCGCAGGAGAAACAGAAGGGGAGUUACCGGAGCAGAAUCAAGAAGGGGACCAAGUGCUACGAC